Long non-coding RNA from Diabrotica virgifera virgifera (western corn rootworm), 1271 nucleotides. RefSeq lists it as uncharacterized. NCBI's taxonomy places the organism in Eukaryota, Metazoa, Arthropoda, Insecta, Coleoptera, Chrysomelidae. The transcript has 3 exons. The record is from RefSeq and is a predicted model, not a curated record.
UACUACCGUAAUAGAUAAUUAUCGAAUAUCGAAUGAAAAUAAUACUUGAAAAGGUACCUACUUAUUUAUAAACAUACGAAAUGGAAAACAUUGACAAAAACAACAAAAAAGCUUUAAUAUAAAAAAUAUUAAAAUUUGUUUGAAGAAUAUUUAAAUGACACAACACUUUACAUAAUUUCAAAACUUUAAAAACCAGAAUCUACAUCUACAAGUUGUUUAACAAAACAAUAUUUUAGGUUAAGAAUUGGAAGGAGUAAGAACAGAAUGUCAAGAAAUUCUUCCCAAAUAUUUUGUGCGCCUGUGCGAACUUAAAAUCCGAAACAAAAUCCUCGAACGUCGAGAGCGUACCCCGGGCAUGUUCAGGAUCUUUUUUCUGUACUGCGCGAAACAAGAAUCUACAGGUCGAGCAAGUCUCGUAAAUUUCACGAUUGCGAGCCACGCUUCACGCAACCGUGUUUGCGUACUUGUGUUUCGAGUUGCGUGGUCGUGCGGAGUUAUAUUUACCAAAUUUAAAUAUAAUCGUUUCUACUGAUUCAUAAUAAUAUAUGUCAAUAUGGCUACUGGGUGUAAAAGAUAAAUGUUAUUCUAUCUGCUCUUAAUGAGUUUUAGAUAAUUUUAGUUGUAUUUCUUUGUAAUUUUGUGUUGUACAAAGAUUAAUUUAACAUUUUCUCUGGAAGUAUUAAUUUAGAAAGAUAAUAUGCUUCAAUGGUGUCGUGUUUUGAAGUGUGAAAUGCAAAGUACCUAAUUGUGAUAAAGUCAAGAUAAAGUUCACUUUUAAACUGAACUAAAUAAGGUAUCUGAGAGACAACAAUGGUUAAAUGCAAUACAAUGUACAGGUUUUACUAGCGAAAUGAAAAUUUUCCUGUCCUGUCUGCUGUAAUCAUUUUAUAUCUGGAAAACCAGCCGACUUAAUCGAUAAUAACAAUCUCCAGAUUGGGUUCCUUCAAUAAAUAUGGGCUAUAAACACAAUGAAAUAAGUUCCCCAAAAUCUAAAAUGGAGUGCUAUCAAAGGAGAAUUAAAGGAAAAAAUAUUCAUAUUGAAAUUAUUUAUAAGGCACUGGACUGUCUUAAAUUCUACAAUAAUACUAGAAUCAGCUGAGAGAAGUGGUCUACAAAAAACCAGGAAGGAAACGGAAUAUGUGGCUACGAAAGGCAAAAGAAAAGUUUACAAAGCAAAUGUGACACAUUUUUUUGAAAUAUUUAGGAAUAUUAGUAAAUUGCAUUAAAAAAAUGUAUGAAAAGAUUUUGUUCAAUAAAAAUGUUUAUAUUUA